Long non-coding RNA from Pelobates fuscus (common spadefoot toad), 688 nucleotides. RefSeq lists it as uncharacterized. Lineage: Eukaryota; Metazoa; Chordata; Amphibia; Anura; Pelobatidae. The transcript has 3 exons. The record is from RefSeq and is a predicted model, not a curated record.
GUACAGACGUAUCGUGGCCCCUGGCAGAUAAAGCUAUUGAAGAAGAAUGACACUGGUUGCAAGGGAGAGCUCCGGGACGCUCUGCGCGCAGCAUUGGCUGAGGUGCACGCUGUGGUUUGUGCAGGAGCCACGAACUCCACCACCGAUUUGCGGAAACUGCAGUUUGUAAUAAAUCCCUAUUGACGGAAAUCAUUAUAGCAAGGAAUAUAGCCGUGGGCAGCGAGGAUACACAGCCAAGGAUGUAGUUCACAUUUCCCACCAGCAGGAGGCAACCCAAACCCUGCAGACGAACGGACAAUCCUGUGAAAUGUCAGCAGCUGAUAACGUACCCAGAACUGGGAAAAUUUAAAGAUGGCUGAAAAACACGAUCCCUUCCCGUGUCUCUGAUCAGAGCUGGUGAUGGCCAGAAUAUUAAUGUGAGCUGUUUUUCCAUUGAUCUUCUCUGUGUGACUGUAUGAAACCCUGCCUGCCGCAAGCGAGGGAAUGAAAAGUUAAAUCCCACUUAUAACCGCCGAGCCUUCUGGAGCAGUUUAUCUUCUAUCAGGGAGGAGAGACGGAGCUAUCGGAGUCAGUUAAACGCCACGAGGAGGAAAUUUAUUUUCUGUCACCUCUCCAGAGUAAUGGGAUUUGGAGCGAAGAUGGAGAAAAGUUAAAUAUACUCUAUCCACCCGUUACUGUCAGUUAAAUA